GCACAGAGGAGCUUGCUCCUUGGGUGACGAGUGGCGGACGGGUGAGUAAUGUCUGGGAAACUGCCCGAUGGAGGGGGAUAACUACUGGAAACGGUAGCUAAUACCGCAUAACGUCGCAAGACCAAAGAGGGGGACCUUCGGGCCUCUUGCCAUCGGAUGUGCCCAGAUGGGAUUAGCUAGUAGGUGGGGUAACGGCUCACCUAGGCGACGAUCCCUAGCUGGUCUGAGAGGAUGACCAGCCACACUGGAACUGAGACACGGUCCAGACUCCUACGGGAGGCAGCAGUGGGGAAUAUUGCACAAUGGGCGCAAGCCUGAUGCAGCCAUGCCGCGUGUAUGAAGAAGGCCUUCGGGUUGUAAAGUACUUUCAGCGAGGAGGAAGGCGUUGUGGUUAAUAACCGCAACGAUUGACGUUACUCGCAGAAGAAGCACCGGCUAACUCCGUGCCAGCAGCCGCGGUAAUACGGAGGGUGCAAGCGUUAAUCGGAAUUACUGGGCGUAAAGCGCACGCAGGCGGUCUGUCAAGUCGGAUGUGAAAUCCCCGGGCUCAACCUGGGAACUGCAUCCGAAACUGGCAUGCUAGAGUCUUGUAGAGGGGGGUAGAAUUCCAGGUGUAGCGGUGAAAUGCGUAGAGAUCUGGAGGAAUACCGGUGGCGAAUGCGGCCCCCUGGACAAAGACUGACGCUCAGUGCGAAAGCGUGGGGGGAGCAACAGGAUUAGAUACCCUGGUAGUCCACGCCGUAA
Molecule: ribosomal RNA, 744 nt
Filed under: uncultured bacterium
Lineage: Bacteria
Description: bacterial SSU rRNA
Rfam family: Bacterial small subunit ribosomal RNA
Source: RNAcentral